GCCUCGGUGGCUUAGCGGCUAUAGCGUCUGCUUCGUAAGCAGAACGUCGCGGGUUUUUGGUUCAUUUCGGACCAGAACGCGAAUUCAAAUCCCGCCCGGGGCUCCA
Molecule: transfer RNA, 106 nt
Filed under: Candidatus Thorarchaeota archaeon
Lineage: Archaea; Promethearchaeati; Candidatus Thorarchaeota
Description: tRNA-Thr
Rfam family: tRNA
About the family: Transfer RNA (tRNA) molecules are approximately 80 nucleotides in length.
Source: RNAcentral